GAGGAAUUAAUUAAAUGAUAAUAUUGCCUUGUCAAGGCAAAAUUGCAAGUUGGACCCUUGUCUUCCUCU
Molecule: transfer RNA, 69 nt
Filed under: Rhacophorus sp.
Lineage: Eukaryota; Metazoa; Chordata; Amphibia; Anura; Rhacophoridae
Also listed under: 1 other name
Description: tRNA-Asp
Rfam family: tRNA
About the family: Transfer RNA (tRNA) molecules are approximately 80 nucleotides in length. Their secondary structure includes four short double-helical elements and three loops (D, anti-codon, and T loops).
Source: RNAcentral